UACGGAGGGUGCAAGCGUUGUUCGGAAUUACUGGGCGUAAAGCGUGCGUAGGCGGUUCGAUAAGUCGGGUGUGAAAGCCCAGGGCUCAACCCUGGAACUGCACCCGAUACUGUCAAACUUGAGUGUGGGAGAGGGAAGCGGAAUUCCUGGUGUAGCGGUGAAAUGCGUAGAUAUCAGGAGGAACACCCGUGGCGAAAGCGGCUUCCUGGCCCAUUACUGACGCUGAGGCACGAAAGCGUGGGGAGCAAACAGG
Molecule: ribosomal RNA, 253 nt
Filed under: uncultured bacterium
Lineage: Bacteria
Description: partial 16S ribosomal RNA
Rfam family: Bacterial small subunit ribosomal RNA
Source: RNAcentral